CGGGGUGUGGCGCAGUUUGGUAGCGCACUUGGUUUGGGACCAAGGGGCCGGAAGUUCAAAUCUUCUCACCCCGACCA
RNAcentral lists this transfer RNA (77 nucleotides) under Clostridia bacterium. RNAcentral describes it as "tRNA-Pro". It matches the Rfam family "tRNA". Rfam says of the family: Transfer RNA (tRNA) molecules are approximately 80 nucleotides in length. Their secondary structure includes four short double-helical elements and three loops (D, anti-codon, and T loops). Further hydrogen bonds mediate the characteristic L-shaped molecular structure. tRNAs have two regions of fundamental functional importance: the anti-codon, which is responsible for specific mRNA codon recognition, and the 3' end, to which the tRNAs corresponding amino acid is attached (by aminoacyl-tRNA synthetases). tRNAs cope with the degeneracy of the genetic code in two manners: having more than one tRNA (with a specific anti-codon) for a particular amino acid; and 'wobble' base-pairing, i.e. permitting non-standard base-pairing at the 3rd anti-codon position. The record is from RNAcentral. Lineage: Bacteria; Bacillati; Bacillota; Clostridia.